This is an unclassified non-coding RNA of Papio anubis (olive baboon), 148 nucleotides long. It matches the Rfam family "Metazoan signal recognition particle RNA". From Rfam's summary of the family: The signal recognition particle (SRP) is a universally conserved ribonucleoprotein. The record is from Ensembl. NCBI's taxonomy places the organism in Eukaryota, Metazoa, Chordata, Mammalia, Primates, Cercopithecidae.
GCUGGGUGUGGUAGCGUGCGCCUGUAGUCCCAGCUACUUGGGAGGCUGAGGCAGGAGAAUCGCUUGAACCUGGGAGGUGGAGGUUGCAGUGAGCCGAGAAUGUGCCACUGCCCUCCAGCCUGGCUGACAGAGCGAGACUCUGUCUCAA